This is a long non-coding RNA of Papio anubis (olive baboon), 1557 nucleotides long. Lineage: Eukaryota; Metazoa; Chordata; Mammalia; Primates; Cercopithecidae. The record is from Ensembl.
AUGUCACCCUCGCGUCCUGCCACCCCCUGUCCCCGCCGCACUCGGCCCCCAUGUCCUCCUCCCGGGUUCCCUGCCUUCAAGGCGCGGGAGAGGGGGAGCCGACCUCGAAAAGAGCGGCGGGGCGGCGGGCUGCGCCGCUGUCUGUGGGGUGCCAGGCUCGCGUGUCCGGGGCCCCCGCCCGUGAUGUCAUCCCCGAAGGGCCCGUGCGUCCCGGGCCGCUACAGAGCUCCCCAAGUCGCGGGGGCCGCUUCCUGCCCGGCCUCGGGGCCUGCGCACAGGCCCCGGCGCCGCUGCCCGGGUGGGGACACCGCAGAGAGCCCGCGCACCCCAUCUCGCCACACACGGCCUUCGCCGCCCCUGCGGGCCCUGACUCCUACGCGACGGCCACGCCGGGCCCGGGUCACGCAUGGGGAAGUCAGCUCCCCGCCCCCCACCUCGGACGCACUCACAAAGCUCCCCUCCGCCCCCGGCGCCGCGCGAAUGUUCCCCACGUCGCCACCCCACGCUCCGCAAACACUCCGCGCCUCGGCGCACGCAGAGCCCUUGCCACACUCGCCCCUCGCGCCAUGCCCCAACCCGACCUCAGCCGGCCGCACAUUCCCCAGAAGACCCUCAGCCACGGCGCAGGGCGCCCCCACCCUGCAGCUCCCCAGACGUCCAUCCGGUGACCUCGCGCACCCCCCACACCACACAAAGCAAGGACCCCGCGGACCCCACAUCUCCACCCAGCGCGCGCUCUCGGUCCCCGAACCUGCCUCGGCUCCUCACCCGGCCCAGGAUCCCGACGCCUCGCGCCGCCCCCACCCCGGGGCAGCGUCCACUGAGCCCCCCGCGCCCCGGCGCUCGCUGCUCACCUCGGCGCCCGCGCUCACUCGGGGGCCCUGGGUCUGGCGCUGCGACUUCGCGGCCCGGAGGCCUGGGUGGCCAUGGGGGUCGGGGCGCGGCGGCCCCGCCGGCCCGCGGCCAGGCAGGAAGGAGGGUGGGCCGCGGCGCCCCCUCCUCGCGCCGGCGCUCGGGCCGCGGGCUGGGCGGCCUGCUCGGCUCGCCUCUCGCCUUCGCCGCACUCGCUCUCCCACUAGUCUCUCGGAGCCCAGCCGCGGGCGGGGGCGGCGCCCGGGGGCGCGGGGAGCGGGCGGCACGGGGACCGGGCCCUGGCCGCGCACCCGGCCGGGCCUGCCUGGUGUCCGCGGGUGCCGCGGGGAAAUGCGAUCCCCUCCGCACAGGAAGAGCGGACGGGCGGGCGGGCGACGCGCGGGGGGAGAAGGAGAGCGAGAGCGCGAGGAAAAAAGUUCCCGGGCGGCCUGGCUGCGCUCGCUCGCGGCCCCGGGCGCCAGGUGGGCCGUGCGCGCCCCGACAGCACCCCCUGGCGGUCCGCGCGCCCCACUGCGCGCCCCCCGCCCGCCCUCCCGCCGGCCUGCGGGAGGGGCCCUCUGCGGUGGGAUCCCGGUGAGGCCCGGGAGGACUCUAGCGCCCUGCGUUCUGGAGCUUCCAGCGUCAGGCCAGGCCCCCACCCUCACUCCUUUAGCCCUCACCUGUGCCCACUUCUUUACAGUUUGA